GCCUGUGUGCAUCAUUCAAAAUUAGAGAAUGUAAUUUUGAAGUAUCAAGUCUCAAUUCAAGAUUAAGAAUGAAUAGAAUAUAGAAUUACGGGGGGGGGGGGGGGGGGGUAGGACCUUUAUCGGAACUCCGGGAUCCGGGAAUUCUAUUUCCGAAUUUCGGGUAGUCGGGAUUUGAUUUUUUUUUUAAUUCGGGACCUCGCCGGAUUUCGUGUUUUUAAGCCCGGGAUUUCAAUAUCUGGAUCCCUCCUCCCCUCCUCCCUCUAUUAUGGUUAAAGAAAACAGGUCAGGGAAGUUUUGUGAUACUUGUAACUGCAAUUUAAUAUUUAGUGGAAUGAGCGGUGAAAUGUGUUCAGACUAUUACAUUUCGAUUUUUUUUU
This 377-nucleotide long non-coding RNA is filed under the name Mytilus galloprovincialis (Mediterranean mussel). Lineage: Eukaryota; Metazoa; Mollusca; Bivalvia; Mytilida; Mytilidae. The record is from RNAcentral.